GGGAGAUUGAAAUGAAUAGAUUGAUAAAAGAUGAUGAAUGAGUACAACAGUAUUGCUAUAUAUAGAGAUUAGUUUGAGUAACUAACUCUAACUAACUUCUAACCAAGCUACUAACUCUAGCCGAACUAUUUUAACACAUGCAACUAUAGAGAACUUACACAAUCAUUGUCAAAGGAUUCACACAUAAUAAACUAAACAAGAAAGUCUUAUUCAAUCUUAAGCCCUCAGCUCCCACCAUAAUCCUUAUGUUACAGUUAAUGCUUAAUUCGUUGAUAUUGCUAUUAAGAAGCAUAGUAUCAUAUAAACAAAAAUCCUCCGCUUUCAAAAUAAUCAAUUUCCUCCACAUCAUGUAAAGGAAAGAACCUCUCUUGAUAAUUUAUAAUGUUAUAGGAAAACUCAGCUCCAACAUCAUCUUCAGGAAGCCAAGCAACAACUCCACCAACACUAUGUAUCAUUUUAUCUGUAGCCAUAAGAACUUCAUUUUUCCAGACACCAACAGGACGCUCUAAACUCGUAAACAUACCAAGAGUUUGCACCUUCAUCCAACACUCAACACCUUCAUAUUCAUCAGACAAAAUCCACAAAUCUAACCAUUGUUCCAUACUUUUACUUUUUAAACAAGUAAUCAAUGAAACAGAAUCCUUAUAAAUUACAAGUUUCUUAUAAACUUCAUCACAGUCUUUAAAAGGAUUAAUCGGCAACUCAAUCUUGCUAAUAACAUUGUCAAUUGAAUUAAAAGAGAUAAUCACUUCAUGACUAACCUUUUCAGUUACCUCCAUAGCAAUCCAAAACAAGGUUCCUUCCAUUGUCACAUUGUUCUCAGUCCAAAACAAAUGUCCCUUCAAAAUCAAAUUUUGAUCACAACCCUUUAUUUCUCUCCAUAACCUUUUACUCAAUGAGUACUUUUCACCUCCAACAGCAUAAGUUCUUCUACUAGAAUCCCUCUUUGUGUUUUCAAAAGAGUGAAACCUUAUCACAUAAAAAUCAUUAUUACUUUCAUAAAAACCUAUAAGACAAUUUGGUGGCAUAAGCAAAGGUUGUUGACGAUGUGGCGGUUCAAUGAUUCUUUUGGUUUGUUUUGUGGUUGGAUUCCAAAGGAAAAGGGUUGAGUAUUGGUCUAAGGAAUAAUGAGCAAUACAAAAUAAACCAUUGCAUGAAGCUAUGAUCUUAUAACCCAUAUCAGAAUUUGUAACUCUUGGAAUAUGAAGCUCUUUGAGAUGUUUUGUUUUGGUAUCUAGAAGAAAUAGGUGUUGGCCACAUACAUUGUUAUCUUUGUAGUAAAAGCGAUCAAGGAUUAGAAGUGAGUUUGUUUUGGUGGAGAAAAGAAAGUGUUUUGGAGCUUCAACUACUUUUUUGAUCAAUGACUUGAAACGGCUUUGAAAUGACUUCAUGGAUGAUUCGUUUUCUUGUGUCAAUGAGGUAGUAGUAGUAUAACAAUCUUUACUAGAGGUGGUGUAGUUAUAAAUUUAUGGGAUAAUCCUUCAUGGAUAUGGUUAGUAGAGUUUUAUGUAUUGAAUUUGAGUAGUUUUGGUAGUCUUGGAACGUGAGAGUGGAACGGUUAGUUAACGGAAUGAGCUCAUUGGUGGAAGUGGAACGGUUUCUAAGAAAUAUUCAUCCUUGGAAAAUUGGAAACAUAACUGAAAUUUAGUGUGCUCCCAAGUCCCAAUGAAUGGAGUGAUUUUCAUUCACCAUUGUUAAUCGAAAUUACAAA
Molecule: long non-coding RNA, 1711 nt
Filed under: Medicago truncatula (barrel medic)
Lineage: Eukaryota; Viridiplantae; Streptophyta; Magnoliopsida; Fabales; Fabaceae
Description: long non-coding RNA (MTRU_LNC006558)
Source: RNAcentral